CGAGACAUAAAAUUUCAUUAAUUUUAAACUUUUCAAACAUAUUCAAGACUAUCUACAUUAAAUGACUUUAUACAAUAGAGACCUUCAAAUAACAUAGGUCAGUAUUUUAGGCCAACUCCUAGCAACUUAAUAAUAAUUAAACGAGUCCCCAUACAUGCCAAAGACUUAAAAAUACUUUAAAACAUUUAUAUAUCGAUCAAUAGUUUGAUAGUGUGAUUUAACCUCCGGCGACCUCCAACUCGAGCUAACAUCUGCGACAUCAUAGGAAAAAGGAAAGGAAGGGAGUAAGCAUUAUAGAUUAGUAAGUAAAUAUGUAAAUAUUAAUAAACAAUACAUUAUCAUACAUUAAAAAAAGUCACAAUAUGUUCCCGGAACAUUACCAUCACAAACACACAUACUUUCACUAUUACAAUUAUAAACAGGUUCAAAAUAAACUGUCUAGCAAAGUACCAGCAGCUAAAUUAUUUAUUUCUGGAGCUAAAAAACUCCAAAUUACAAACCGUUAAUUUUAAUUGAAACUAUAUUAAUGUAUAUUCUUACCAUAAAAUUUUUAGAAUUUUUGGUCUAGCCAAUUAGUACAGUUUAUUCAUUGAAGUUACCCCUAUUUCACUGCUCAACUGCCCUGACCACUCUUCACUAAAAAUAAAUUUUCUCUUCGUAAAGAACUUAUAUGAUGUUAUCGUUUAUUUUAUUUGAAACUAGACUUAUUAAGGAUUUAAAUAUAUAAAUUAUAUCCCAUAAUUAUUUUUGUACAAUUUUUAAUGAUUUUUCAAAGUCAGAACAGGGGAUCACGUAGUCAUUCUGAACCAGUCUCAUAGAAACUUAAAUAUCUCAGAAUAUAGAAUUCCUUUGCUUGCUCUGUUUCUAUUAUAUGAAAAUAAACUCAUUAAGCUUUAAUUUGAUAUCUCAUUCAAUCUCUGAUUCAAUUUCUAAUAUUUUUGGUAAAUUUUUAGAUUCUCAUCACUGCAACUAUCCAGAACAGUUUUAUUGUCAAUUCUGAUCUUUCACACUUCAAUUGUAUUCAUCACUUACCCAUAACAAUCUUUCCAAUUUCCAAUCACAUAUCAAGCAUAUUACUCAUAAGUUACACACGUGUAUACUUACACUUAUCUUCACAAAGUCAUACACAAUUUCAUUUAAUCAAUUUCCCAGUUGAACACUUCGGAAUAAUAACAGAUACGCGAUGGUAUCGCACACAGUCCACCUUUAAAAUUGAAGCUCUCUUGUACACAUAGUGGCCUUCACUUAGCACCACUCAUGUGACCUAGCCACUUUAUCUCGUAGCUCUCUUGUUUACAUGGUGUCCUUCACCUGGAACCACACAUGCAACCUAGCUACAUCUAUCUCGUAGCUCUCUUGUCUACAUGGUGUACACAUAGUAUCACCCAUGCGACCUAGCUACCUCAUAAUGUCUCGUAGCUCUCUUGUACACAUGGUAUACAUCCCGUAUUCCACAUGUGACCUAGCUACAUACCAUCUGUAUCUUUCGAUUCCGAAGGUUCAAACGGGAAGUAUCUCACUUUCUAAUACUUUAUUCCAUUCUUCCAAUAGUCAAUUAUGAUUCAAAAAUCAGCUACAAUACAUAAAAUAUGCUGAAAUAUGAAAACGUAAUAAAGAUAAUGUAUUAUUUACAUACAAACUUACAUACUUUCUCAUUUUCAUGUCGAAAAUAUGCUGAAAUAUAAAAACGUAAUAAAGAUAAUGUAUUAUUUACAUACAAACUUACAUACUUUCUCAUUUCCAUGUCGAAUUAAUAUUGAACAUUUAAAUCAUCAUAAUUAUACUUACUUUCAACACCUCGGUAAUCAUAGUAAAUAUAUUAAUUUUACAUUGAAACAUGCAUAAAUUAAUGCUUAUUAUACAUAUGAACUUACCUCGAUACUAAAACGACCAUUUUACCAACUUUCCUGAUUUUCGAUUUUUCUCCCAUUCUAGGUUCAAAACUCAUUUUUCAAGAAUCUAAAACAUCAUAUUUUACUUAUUUAAUUAAUGUACUAUUCAAAACAGUCCUUAACUCAAACUUUGGAAAAAUUACAAUUUUACCCCUAAACUUUUGCAUAUUUAUACUUUUGCCCCUAAGCUCGGGAAUUAAACUUCAUCCCUUAUUCUUAUAUUUUAUGACAUGCUGAUCAUUUUUCCCUUCUAUGGAAACAUCAAAUUCUUACUCUAACACAUAGUUAUGAACAAUAACAACUUUUACCGAUUAAGCCGUUUUACUCAUUUUUGCUUAAAACCGCUUAGCAAAAGUUGUUUAACAUAAUUUCAGUCUUCAUAUUCUACCAUAAAACAUCAAAAUAAACACAUUUCACCUAUGGGUAUUUUUCCAAAUAUGAACCUUAGCUUAAAUUAUUGCUAGAAUAAGCUUAAUCAAGUUACCGGGAUUCCAAAAACAUAAAGAACUUGAAAAACGGGGCUAGAAUGGACUUACUAUUGAGCUUGGAAAGCUUGAAAACCCUAGCCAUGGCUUCCCCCAUGCUAAUUUCGGC
RNAcentral lists this long non-coding RNA (2486 nucleotides) under Gossypium barbadense (sea-island cotton). RNAcentral describes it as "long non-coding RNA (GBAR_LNC007450)". Lineage: Eukaryota; Viridiplantae; Streptophyta; Magnoliopsida; Malvales; Malvaceae. The record is from RNAcentral.